GAUGAACGCUGGCGGCGUGCCUAAUACAUGCAAGUCGAACGAAACUUCUUUAUCACCGAGUGCUUGCACUCACCGAUAAAGAGUUGAGUGGCGAACGGGUGAGUAACACGUGGGCAACCUGCCCAAAAGAGGGGGAUAACACUUGGAAACAGGUGCUAAUACCGCAUAACCAUAGUUACCGCAUGGUAACUAUGUAAAAGGUGGCUAUACUACCGCUUUUGGAUGGGCCCGCGGCGCAUUAGCUAGUUGGUAGGGUAAAGGCUUGCCAAGGCAAUGAUGCGUAGCCGAAUUGAGAGGUUGAUCGGCCACAUUGGGACUGAGACACGGCCCAAACUCCCACGGGAGGCAGCAGUAGGGAAUCUUCCACAAUGGGCGAAAGCCUGAUGGAGCAACGCCGCGUGGGUGAAGAAGGUCUUCGGAUCGUAAAACCCUGUUGUUAGAGAAGAAAGUGCGUGAGAGUAACUGUUCACGUUUCGACGGUAUCUAACCAGAAAGCCACGGCUAACUACGUG
This 512-nucleotide ribosomal RNA is filed under the name uncultured bacterium. RNAcentral's name for it is "partial 16S ribosomal RNA". It matches the Rfam family "Bacterial small subunit ribosomal RNA", at positions 28 to 507 of the family's 1533-position model. The record is from RNAcentral.